Molecule: ribosomal RNA, 465 nt
Filed under: uncultured bacterium
Lineage: Bacteria
Description: partial 16S ribosomal RNA
Rfam family: Bacterial small subunit ribosomal RNA
Source: RNAcentral
GACGAACGCUGGCGGCGUGCUUAACACAUGCAAGUCGAACGGAAAGGCCCUGCUUGCCGGGUACUCGAGUGGCGAACGGGUGAGUAACACGUGGGUGAUCUGCCCUGCACUUCGGGAUAAGCCUGGGAAACUGGGUCUAAUACCGGAUAGGAGCCAUUUUUAGUGUGAUGGUUGGAAAGUUUUUUCGGUGUAGGAUGAGCUCGCGGCCUAUCAGCUUGUUGGUGGGGUAAUGGCCUACCAAGGCGGCGACGGGUAGCCGGCCUGGGAGGGUGGACGGCCACAUUGGGACUGAGAGACGGCCCAGACUCCUACGGGAGGCAGCAGUGGGGAAUAUUGCACAAUGGGCGCAAGCCUGAUGCAGCGACGCCGCGUGGGGGAUGACGGCCUUCGGGUUGUAAACUCCUUUCGCUAGGGACGAAGCUUUUUGUGACGGUACCUAGAGAAGAAGCACCGGCUAACUACGUG